Molecule: ribosomal RNA, 275 nt
Filed under: uncultured bacterium
Lineage: Bacteria
Description: partial 16S ribosomal RNA
Rfam family: Bacterial small subunit ribosomal RNA
Source: RNAcentral
UCCUACGGGACGCAGCAGUGGGGAAUAUUGCACAAUGGGGGAAACCCUGAUGCAGCGACGCCGCGUGAGUGAAGAAGUAUUUCGGUAUGUAAAGCUCUAUCAGCAGGGAAGAAAAUGACGGUACCUGACUAAGAAGCCCCGGCUAACUACGUGCCAGCAGCCGCGGUAAUACGUAGGGGGCAGGCGUUAUCCGGAUUUACUGGGUGUAAAGAGAGCGUAGACGGUAGAGCAGGUCUGCAGUGAAAGCCCGCGGCUCAACUGCGGGCCUGCUUUGG